GGAUGGUUAGUCUCAGUUGGUAGAGCGCUGCCUUCACACGGCAGAGGUCACUGGUUCGAGUCCAGUACCACCCACCA
RNAcentral lists this transfer RNA (77 nucleotides) under Laribacter hongkongensis. Its description in RNAcentral is "tRNA-Val". It matches the Rfam family "tRNA". From Rfam's summary of the family: Transfer RNA (tRNA) molecules are approximately 80 nucleotides in length. Lineage: Bacteria; Pseudomonadati; Pseudomonadota; Betaproteobacteria; Neisseriales; Aquaspirillaceae. The record is from RNAcentral.